RNAcentral lists this ribosomal RNA (228 nucleotides) under uncultured bacterium. RNAcentral describes it as "partial 16S ribosomal RNA". It matches the Rfam family "Bacterial small subunit ribosomal RNA", at positions 568 to 795 of the family's 1533-position model. The record is from RNAcentral.
UACGUAGGCGGAAAAUUAAGUCAGUAGUGAAAUCCUGCAGCUUAACUGUAGAACUGUAAUUGAUACUGGUUUUCUUGAAUGUAGUUGAGGUAGGCGGAAUAUGUAAUGUAGCGGUGAAAUGCUUAGAUAUUACAUAGAACACCGAUUGCGAAGGCAGCUUACUAAGCUACGAUUGACGCUGAGGUACGAAAGCGUGGGGAGCGAACAGGAUUAGAUACCCUGGUAGUC